Molecule: non-coding RNA, 72 nt
Organism: Caenorhabditis elegans
Lineage: Eukaryota; Metazoa; Nematoda; Chromadorea; Rhabditida; Rhabditidae
Source: the annotation of a RefSeq genome assembly
GGCGGGAUGGAUCAGUCGGUAAUGGUGAUCGCUAGCAAUCUGGAGGUCCCGAGUUCAAGUCCGGUCUCACCG